Molecule: long non-coding RNA, 374 nt
Filed under: Brassica napus (rape)
Lineage: Eukaryota; Viridiplantae; Streptophyta; Magnoliopsida; Brassicales; Brassicaceae
Description: long non-coding RNA (BNAP_LNC025978)
Source: RNAcentral
GAGGGGGAGAAAGAAAAGGUAUCACAGGGUGCCUAUAUAUGGAAAUAUGAUUAGGCUUUCUCAAUUUCGACUUCUCUUCGAUUAAUGAUAAAUAUCAAAUAAAUUGAUAAUGUUUGAGGUUUAGUUUUUGAAUAAAUACUCUACAAGAAAACAUGAAUUUGAUUUUGAAGUUUGCAUUGGUUUUUAUUACAUCUGUUUAAUUAACUAAAAGAAUAUUGUAAGAAAGAUUUGGCAUUUCUUGCUCUAGUGAUAAUGAUGGGGAAAAUCGCAUUUUAAACCCUGAGAGUGUCACAUUCUCGCACUUUAAACACUGAACGUUUUUGACUAUCACUUUAAAUCUUGAAAGUGACAUUUUUAUCAUAACAAACCUCCAA